Molecule: ribosomal RNA, 468 nt
Filed under: uncultured bacterium
Lineage: Bacteria
Description: partial 16S ribosomal RNA
Rfam family: Bacterial small subunit ribosomal RNA
Source: RNAcentral
GACGAACGCUGGCGGCGUGCUUAACACAUGCAAGUCGAACGGAAAGGCCCUGCUUUUGUGGGGUGCUCGAGUGGCGAACGGGUGAGUAACACGUGAGUAACCUGCCCUUGACUUUGGGAUAACUUCAGGAAACUGGGGCUAAUACCGGAUAGGAGCUCCUGCUGCAUGGUGGGGGUUGGAAAGUUUCGGCGGUUGGGGAUGGACUCGCGGCUUAUCAGCUUGUUGGUGGGGUAGUGGCUUACCAAGGCUUUGACGGGUAGCCGGCCUGAGAGGGUGAUCGGCCACAUUGGGACUGAGAUACGGCCCAGACUCCUACGGGAGGCAGCAGUGGGGAAUAUUGCACAAUGGGCGGAAGCCUGAUGCAGCAACGCCGCGUGCGGGAUGACGGCCUUCGGGUUGUAAACCGCUUUCGCCUGUGACGAAGCGUGAGUGACGGUAAUGGGUAAAGAAGCACCGGCUAACUACGUG